Molecule: ribosomal RNA, 465 nt
Filed under: Vreelandella stevensii
Lineage: Bacteria; Pseudomonadati; Pseudomonadota; Gammaproteobacteria; Oceanospirillales; Halomonadaceae
Description: partial 16S ribosomal RNA
Rfam family: Bacterial small subunit ribosomal RNA
Source: RNAcentral
CCUACGGGUGGCUGCAGUGGGGAAUAUUGGACAAUGGGCGAAAGCCUGAUCCAGCCAUGCCGCGUGUGUGAAGAAGGCCUUCGGGUUGUAAAGCACUUUCAGUGGGGAAGAAAGCCUGGGGGCUAAUACCCUCGAGGAAGGACAUCACCCACAGAAGAAGCACCGGCUAACUCCGUGCCAGCAGCCGCGGUAAUACGGAGGGUGCGAGCGUUAAUCGGAAUUACUGGGCGUAAAGCGCGCGUAGGCGGUCUGAUAAGCCGGUUGUGAAAGCCCCGGGCUCAACCUGGGAACGGCAUCCGGAACUGUCAGGCUAGAGUGCAGGAGAGGAAGGUAGAAUUCCCGGUGUAGCGGUGAAAUGCGUAGAGAUCGGGAGGAAUACCAGUGGCGAAGGCGGCCUUCUGGACUGACACUGACGCUGAGGUGCGAAAGCGUGGGUAGCAAACAGGAUUAGAUACCCCGGUAGUC